Molecule: long non-coding RNA, 378 nt
Filed under: Triticum aestivum (bread wheat)
Lineage: Eukaryota; Viridiplantae; Streptophyta; Magnoliopsida; Poales; Poaceae
Description: long non-coding RNA (TAES_LNC005151)
Source: RNAcentral
ACAUCGACCGAUGCCUGCUGGAGCUGAGGGCCAGGGUGAGGGACGUGACACCGUCACAACAGCGGCUAUCAUCGGUUAGGUGUGGCUUGUCGAGGCUGCCCAGUGUGUUUCGUCGCAGCUGCAGGUCGCGAGAUCAGUUCGGGCAGGCGCCGCACAUUGACGAGUGAUCCAAUAUUUUGAUCGGACCAUAACAACUAACGUGUCUCAUUCUCUGGCAUCUAGAAGUAGUGGUAAAAUUCUGAAUUUGCAUGGCAAGCACCACUUACGUAGGUAGCUGCCACGCACAGUUUAUACUCUUAUGCCUAUAAAGGAUAGGAAUUAUUCAUGAGUUAUGGCUACAAUGAGGAACUAUGUAUAGUUUAUACUCUUACGCCUAUA